This 476-nucleotide ribosomal RNA is filed under the name uncultured Geobacillus sp. RNAcentral describes it as "bacterial SSU rRNA". It matches the Rfam family "Bacterial small subunit ribosomal RNA", at positions 906 to 1382 of the family's 1533-position model. Lineage: Bacteria; Bacillati; Bacillota; Bacilli; Caryophanales; Anoxybacillaceae. The record is from RNAcentral.
GGAAUUGACGGGGCCCGCACAAGCGGUGGAGCAUGUGGUUUAAUUCGAAGCAACGCGAAGAACCUUACCAGGUCUUGACAUCCCCUGACAACCCAAGAGAUUGGGCGUUCCCCUUCGGGGGGACAGGGUGACAGGUGGUGCAUGGUUGUCGUCAGCUCGUGUCGUGAGAUGUUGGGUUAAGUCCCGCAACGAGCGCAACCCUCGCCUCUAGUUGCCAGCAUUCGGUUGGGCACUCUAGAGGGACUGCCGGCGACAAGUCGGAGGAAGUGGGGAUGACGUCAAAUCAUCAUGCCCCUUAUGACCUGGGCUACACACGUGCUACAAUGGGCGGUACAAAGGGCUGCGAACCCGCGAGGGGGAGCCAAUCCCAAAAAGCCGCUCUCAGUUCGGAUUGCAGGCUGCAACUCGCCUGCGUGAAGUCGGAAUCGCUAGUAAUCGUGGAUCAGCAUGUCACGGUGAAUACGUUCCCGGGUCUU